Small nucleolar RNA from Melanotaenia boesemani (Boeseman's rainbowfish), 82 nucleotides. RefSeq annotates it as small nucleolar RNA snR60/Z15/Z230/Z193/J17. The record is from RefSeq and is a predicted model, not a curated record. NCBI's taxonomy places the organism in Eukaryota, Metazoa, Chordata, Actinopteri, Atheriniformes, Melanotaeniidae. The transcript has a single exon.
UUGAUACAAUGAUGACUGCAUAGUUCAGCAGAUUGAACAGUGAAGAAUUUGUUGUGUCUUUCGCUCCUAGCUGAUGUAUCAA